This 347-nucleotide ribosomal RNA is filed under the name uncultured bacterium. RNAcentral's name for it is "partial 16S ribosomal RNA". It matches the Rfam family "Bacterial small subunit ribosomal RNA", at positions 338 to 682 of the family's 1533-position model. The record is from RNAcentral.
CCUACGGGGAGCAGCAGUGAGGAAUAUUGGACAAUGGACGCAAGUCUGAACCAGCGAUGCCGCGUGAAGGAUGAAGGCUCUAUGAGUGGUAAACUGCUGUUGUACGAGGGUAAACCCCGAUACGUGUAUCGGGUUGAAAGUAUCGUACGAAUAAGGAUCGGCUAACUCCGUGCCAGCAGCCGCGGUAAUACGGAGGAGCCGAGCGUUAUCCGGAUUUAUUUGGUUUACAGGGUGCGUAGGCGGUUUGAUAAGUUAGAGGUGAAAUGUCGGGGCUCAACCCCGAAACUGCCUCUAAUACUGUUGGACUAGAGCAUAGUUGCGGUAGGCGGAAUGUCUGGUGUAGCGGU